ACCUCUUUGACAAGUGUUUAUUAAUCAAACGAUGGUGGAACUUCUUCAGAGAACCACCACAACCUUAGAAAGAGCUUAUCAGAAAGCUUCACUGCAAGAAUAAACUCCCUUCUCAGACUGAAAGCAACGAUAUCAAGCAACCAUCGGCCAUUUGGCGCAGCGUGGUGAAGGUGACCAAUAUCUUCAGAGUCAGUGUAAUCUUUCAAUGUGGUUAUAGCGAAGAAACGGCUUUCCGGAAAGAUCAUUGGUUUGGCGAAAGACCCUUUAAAGAUCAAUUCCCAGGAUUAUUCUUACUUACAUGUUCACUAGAGAUCUCGAUUUCAAGUUUUAUGAAGAUUG
This 339-nucleotide long non-coding RNA is filed under the name Elaeis guineensis (African oil palm). RNAcentral describes it as "long non-coding RNA (EGUI_LNC078075)". The record is from RNAcentral. Lineage: Eukaryota; Viridiplantae; Streptophyta; Magnoliopsida; Arecales; Arecaceae.